This 82-nucleotide transfer RNA is filed under the name Physospermopsis kingdon-wardii. RNAcentral describes it as "tRNA-Gln". The stretch from base 11 to 82 matches the Rfam family "tRNA". From Rfam's summary of the family: Transfer RNA (tRNA) molecules are approximately 80 nucleotides in length. Lineage: Eukaryota; Viridiplantae; Streptophyta; Magnoliopsida; Apiales; Apiaceae. The record is from RNAcentral. RNAcentral also lists the same sequence under 6 other names.
GAAAUUUAAAUGGGGCGUGGCCAAGUGGUAAGGCAACGGGUUUUGGUCCCGGUAUUCGGAGGUUCGAAUCCUUUCGUCCCAG